GACGAACGCUGGCGGCGUGCCUAAUACAUGCAAGUCGAGCGAAGUUUUUCUGGUGCUUGCACUAGAAAAACUUAGCGGCGAACGGGUGAGUAACACGUAAAGAACCUGCCUCAUAGACUGGGACAACUAUUGGAAACGAUAGCUAAUACCGGAUAACAGCAUUAACUGCAUGGUUGAUGUUUAAAAGUUGGUUUUGCUAACACUAUGAGAUGGCUUUGCGGUGCAUUAGCUAGUUGGUGGGGUAAAGGCCUACCAAGGCGACGAUGCAUAGCCGACCUGAGAGGGUGAUCGGCCACACUGGGACUGAGACACGGCCCAGACUCCUACGGGAGGCAGCAGUAGGGAAUCUUCCGCAAUGGGCGAAAGCCUGACGGAGCAACGCCGCGUGAGUGAAGAAGGAUUUCGGUUCGUAAAGCUCUGUUGUUAGGGAAGAAUGAUUGUGUAGUAACUAUACACAGUAGAGACGGUACCUAACCAGAAAGCCACGGCUAACUACGUGCCAGCAGCCGCGGUAAUACGUAGGUGGCAAGCGUUGUCCGGAAUUAUUGGGCGUAAAGCGCGCGCAGGCGGUUUAAUAAGUCUGAUGUGAAAGCCCACGGCUCAACCGUGGAGGGUCAUUGGAAACUGUUAAACUUGAGUGCAGGAGAGAAAAGUGGAAUUCCUAGUGUAGCGGUGAAAUGCGUAGAGAUUAGGAGGAACACCAGUGGCGAAGGCGGCUUUUUGGCCUGUAACUGACACUGAGGCGCGAAAGCGUGGGGAGCAAACAGG
Molecule: ribosomal RNA, 768 nt
Filed under: uncultured bacterium
Lineage: Bacteria
Description: bacterial SSU rRNA
Rfam family: Bacterial small subunit ribosomal RNA
Source: RNAcentral